This 809-nucleotide ribosomal RNA is filed under the name uncultured bacterium. RNAcentral's name for it is "bacterial SSU rRNA". It matches the Rfam family "Bacterial small subunit ribosomal RNA", at positions 8 to 796 of the family's 1533-position model. The record is from RNAcentral.
AGAGUUUGAUCCUGGCUCAGAAUCAACGCUGGCGGCGUGCCUAACACAUGCAAGUCGAACGCGAAAGUCCCGCAAGGGAUCAGUAGAGUGGCAAACGGGUGAGUAACACGUGGGUGACCUGCCUUCGAGUGGGGGAUAACGUCCCGAAAGGGACGCUAAUACCGCAUAACAUCCUGCCUUUGAAGAGGUGGAGAUCAAAGCUGGGGAUCGCAAGACCUAGCACUCGAAGAGGGGCCCGCGUCCGAUUAGCUAGUUGGUGGGGUAAUGGCUCACCAAGGCAACGAUCGGUAGCCGGCCUGAGAGGGCGGACGGCCACACUGGGACUGAGACACGGCCCAGACUCCUACGGGAGGCAGCAGUGGGGAAUUGUUCGCAAUGGGCGCAAGCCUGACGACGCAACGCCGCGUGGAGGAUGAAGAUCUUCGGGUCGUAAACUCCUUUCGAUCGAGACGAAUUCCUCCGGGGUGAACAAUCCUGGAGGUUGACGGUACCGAGAGAAGAAGCCCCGGCUAACUCCGUGCCAGCAGCCGCGGUAAUACGGGGGGGGCAAGCGUUGUUCGGAAUUACUGGGCGUAAAGGGCUCGUAGGCGGCCAACUAAGUCAGACGUGAAAUCCCUCGGCUUAACCGGGGAACUGCGUCUGAUACUGGAUGGCUUGAGUUUGGGAGAGGGAUGCGGAAUUCCAGGUGUAGCGGUGAAAUGCGUAGAUAUCUGGAGGAACACCGGUGGCGAAGGCGGCAUCCUGGACCAACACUGACGCUGAGGAGCGAAAGCCAGGGGAGCAAACGGGAUUAGAUACCCCAGUAGUCC